Molecule: unclassified non-coding RNA, 198 nt
Filed under: uncultured Helvellosebacina
Lineage: Eukaryota; Fungi; Basidiomycota; Agaricomycetes; Sebacinales; Sebacinaceae
Description: sequence contains ITS2
Source: RNAcentral
UACUCUCACACUCUCUAAUUAGUAAUUAGUUAGAGAGCGGUGGACUUGGAUGCUGCCUGGUACUUACUGUCAGGCUCAUCUAAAAUGAAUUAGUGCGACUCCUAGUUAAACAUAGUACGGCGUGAUAAGUAAACCCUCGCUGUUUUUUGGUUGAUUAGGAGCUCUGUGCUUCAAACCGUCUCAGGACAAUGUCUGAUA